RNAcentral lists this ribosomal RNA (469 nucleotides) under uncultured bacterium. RNAcentral describes it as "partial 16S ribosomal RNA". It matches the Rfam family "Bacterial small subunit ribosomal RNA", at positions 27 to 507 of the family's 1533-position model. The record is from RNAcentral.
GGACGAACGCUGGCGGCGUGCUUAACACAUGCAAGUCGAACGGAAAGGCCCUGCUUUUGUGGGGUGCUCGAGUGGCGAACGGGUGAGUAACACGUGAGUAACCUGCCCUUGACUUUGGGAUAACUUCAGGAAACUGGGGCUAAUACCGGAUAGGAGCUCCUGCUGCAUGGUGGGGGUUGGAAAGUUUCGGCGGUUGGGGAUGGACUCGCGGCUUAUCAGCUUGUUGGUGGGGUAGUGGCUUACCAAGGCUUUGACGGGUAGCCGGCCUGAGAGGGUGACCGGCCACAUUGGGACUGAGAUACGGCCCAGACUCCUUCGGGAGGCAGCAGUGGGGAAUAUUGCACAAUGGGCGGAAGCCUGAUGCAGCAACGCCGCGUGCGGGAUGACGGCCUUCGGGUUGUAAACCGCUUUCGCCUGUGACGAAGCGUGAGUGACGGUAAUGGGUAAAGAAGCACCGGCUAACUACGUG